UACAGGGGGUGCAAACGUUGCUCGGAAUCAUUGGGCGUAAAGCGCGUGUAGGCUGCUUCGCAAGUCGGAUGUGAAAUCCCCGGGCUUAACCUGGGAACUGCAUUUGUGACUGCAUGGCUGGAGUGCGGCAGAGGGGGAUGGAAUUCCGCGUGUAGCAGUGAAAUGCGUAGAUAUGCGGAGGAACACCGAUGGCGAAGGCAAUCCCCUGGGCCUGCACUGACGCUCAUGCACGAAAGCGUGGGGAGCGAACAGG
RNAcentral lists this ribosomal RNA (253 nucleotides) under uncultured bacterium. RNAcentral's name for it is "partial 16S ribosomal RNA". It matches the Rfam family "Bacterial small subunit ribosomal RNA", at positions 524 to 776 of the family's 1533-position model. The record is from RNAcentral.